This is a non-coding RNA of Desulfobacteraceae bacterium 4572_123, 97 nucleotides long. The record is from Rfam. Lineage: Bacteria; Pseudomonadati; Thermodesulfobacteriota; Desulfobacteria; Desulfobacterales; Desulfobacteraceae.
UCGGACAGCAAGGUGCCGGACAUCCAGUCCGGCUAUGAAUCCACCUUGAGCGCCACCCUCGGCGCCCUGUCAGGGGCCAAUUUUCUCUUUGGUUGCG